AUUGAACGCUGGCGGCAUGCUUUACACAUGCAAGUCGAACGGUAACAGGCCUUCGGGUGCUGACGAGUGGCGAACGGGUGAGUAAUGCAUCGGAACGUACCCAGAGGUGGGGGAUAACGCAGCGAAAGCUGUGCUAAUACCGCAUGUGAUCUGAGGAUGAAAGCGGGGGACCGAGCAGCAAUGUUUGGCCUCGCGCCUUUGGAGCGGCCGAUGCCGGAUUAGCUAGUUGGUGGGGUAAAGGCCUACCAAGGCGACGAUCCGUAGCUGGUCUGAGAGGACGACCAGCCACACUGGGACUGAGACACGGCCCAGACUCCUACGGGAGGCAGCAGUGGGGAAUCUUGGACAAUGGGCGCAAGCUUGAUCGAGCAAUGCCGCGUGAGGGAAGAAGGCCUUCGGGUUGUAAACCGCUUUUGGCAGGAACGAAACGGUGUCCGCUAAUACCGGGCGCUAAUGACGGUACCUGCAGAAUAAGCACCGGCUAACUACGUG
Molecule: ribosomal RNA, 492 nt
Filed under: uncultured bacterium
Lineage: Bacteria
Description: partial 16S ribosomal RNA
Rfam family: Bacterial small subunit ribosomal RNA
Source: RNAcentral